ACCGGCCAGCCGGACGGUCCCGGCCGCCACUAGACGGUGUCGAACUCGUCGGCGGCGAGGGCGGACUGGCUCUGCAUGCGGCGGAGCUUGAAGGAGGAGAGCCUCUGGGGCGCGUCCUUGGCGGGGGCCUCCUCGAAGCGGAUGUAGGUGUAGACCCAGGCGCCGGAGAGCGUGCCGAUGACGGGGCCGAGGAAGUAGAUCCAGAGGCCCGUGUAGACGUUGCUGGCCACCGCCGGCGCCAGCGUCCUCGCCGGGUUCAUCGAUCCGCCGGACACAGGCCUGCAAAUGCCACUCGUUCCCCCGCGUCGUGUAUUAGCUUACAUGUAUAUAUGUGCGUGUGCGUCAGUAGUGGCUCAUCAGUGCGUGCAGUACUCUGUGCCUGUAGCUAAUCUUUGCUUUUUCUAGGGUAGCUAAUCUUUGUUUUCGUAGCUACUACUAGUGACUAGUUCCAAAGUCAGAGGGUCUAGAAAAUUGUUUGUUAGUGAAGGCAUGUCUGACAGGGUUCACUGAACCUAAUUCACAAGAGGUUUCGCCCUGUCGCAACCAGAGUGUCAGCUUGUACAACAACACGGUGCCAAUUUGGAGGAAAAUCAAAAAAAUGUGGCCAGCUUACUAGCAAACGACGUCAACAGCUUGAGAAGUCACGUAUGCUAAAAUUUCCUAAAAGGACCUAGGCGGUUUCUUCGGUGUCACUACUGCUAUAGCUCUUUGGUCGAAAGUCUAUCAUGUUUUAAUUCCUCGUGAGAGUACUAUAGCCGAUGUCCUUGCUGCUAAUUAAUAAGGCUAUAGCUACUACUACUAGUGUUUGGUCAGUGCUCAUCAGUGAUUGGUUAGUUAUUCAUCGUUUCGUUCAUAUUACCCUGCGAAGAUGGACGUAAUGCAAACCGCGGAACCGACUGCUAACCCGGCCAACUCACCCACCUGCAACCAAAUAAACCAAACGAAGUCGUCGUCGUCAGGGCAUGCAAGCAGUGAACCAGCAGGGAGAGAACUGAUGAAGAACAGGGGAGAGGGCAUCCUCAGCAUUGUAGGCAAUACGAGCAAACAGCAGCUGGGGACGAAGGCCACUCACCGCCCUGGAGUCCGUUGCGACGGCGCAGGUGACGAACAUCAUGUUGAAGGUGACGACGAUCUCGAUGACGAGCGCGUGCCAGUGCGGCCCC
RNAcentral lists this long non-coding RNA (1163 nucleotides) under Setaria italica (foxtail millet). RNAcentral describes it as "long non-coding RNA (SITA_LNC002859)". The record is from RNAcentral. Lineage: Eukaryota; Viridiplantae; Streptophyta; Magnoliopsida; Poales; Poaceae.